UCAGGACGAACGCUGGCGGUAUGCCUAAUACAUGCAAGUCGAACGCUGAAACACUCUGCUUGCAGAGUGUGGAUGAGUGGCGAACGGGUGAGUAACACGUGGGGAACCUGCCCAUAAGAGGGGGAUAACAUCCGGAAACGGGUGCUAAUACCGCAUAGGUGAUCAUAGCGCAUGCUUAGAUCAUUAAAGAUGGCUUCGGCUAUCGCUUAUGGAUGGCCCCGCGGCGUAUUAGCUAGUUGGUGAGGUAAUGGCUCACCAAGGCUGUGAUACGUAGCCGACCUGAGAGGGUGAUCGGCCACACUGGAACUGAGACACGGUCCAGACUCCUNNNGGAGGCAGCAGUAGGGAAUCUUCCACAAUGGGCGAAAGCCUGAUGGAGCAAUACCGCGUGAGUGAAGAAGGUCUUCGGAUCGUAAAGCUCUGUUGUUAGAGAAGAACAAGAGGUGUAGUAACUGGCACCUCCUUGACGGUAUCUAACCAGAAAGUCACGGCUAACUACGUGCCAGCAGCCGCGGUAAUACGUAGGUGACAAGCGUUGUCCGGAUUUAUUGGGCGUAAAGCGAGCGCAGGCGGUCUUUUAAGUCUGAUGUGAAAGCCCACGGCUCAACCGUGGAGGGUCAUUGGAAACUGGAAGACUUGAAUGCAGAAGAGGAAAGUGGAAUUCCAUGUGUAGCGGUGAAAUGCGUAGAUAUAUGGAGGAACACCAGUGGCGAAGGCGACUUUCUGGUCUGUAAUUGACGCUGAGGCUCGAAAGCGUGGGGAGCGAACAGGAUUAGAUACCCUGGUAGUCCACGCCGUAAACGAUGAGUGCUAAGUGUUGGAGGGUUUCCGCCCUUCAGUGCUGGAGCUAACGCAUUAAGCACUCCGCCUGGGGAGUACGGCCGCAAGGCUGAAACUCAAAGGAAUAGACGGGGACCCGCACAAGCGGUGGAG
This 933-nucleotide ribosomal RNA is filed under the name uncultured Alkalibacterium sp. Its description in RNAcentral is "bacterial SSU rRNA". It matches the Rfam family "Bacterial small subunit ribosomal RNA", at positions 24 to 937 of the family's 1533-position model. The record is from RNAcentral. Lineage: Bacteria; Bacillati; Bacillota; Bacilli; Lactobacillales; Carnobacteriaceae.